UACAUAGGGUGCGAGCGUUAAUCGGAAUUACUGGGCGUAAAGCGUGCGCAGGCGGUUUUGCAAGCCGGAUGUGAAAUCCCCGGGCUUAACCUGGGAAUGGCAUUUGGGACUGCAAGGCUGGAGUGCGGCAGAGGAGACUGGAAUUCCUGGUGUAGCAGUGAAAUGCGUAGAUAUCAGGAGGAACACCGAUGGCGAAGGCAGGUCUCUGGGCUGACACUGACGCUCAUGCACGAAAGCGUGGGGAGCAAACAGG
This 253-nucleotide ribosomal RNA is filed under the name uncultured bacterium. RNAcentral describes it as "partial 16S ribosomal RNA". It matches the Rfam family "Bacterial small subunit ribosomal RNA", at positions 524 to 776 of the family's 1533-position model. The record is from RNAcentral.